Molecule: ribosomal RNA, 466 nt
Filed under: uncultured bacterium
Lineage: Bacteria
Description: partial 16S ribosomal RNA
Rfam family: Bacterial small subunit ribosomal RNA (bases 52-466)
Source: RNAcentral
GGGGGGGGGGGGGGGGGGGGGGGGGAGGGGCGGGGCGGGGGGGAGGGGCGGGUUGGGGGGGGGCUCGAGGGGCGAGCGGGUGGGUAACACGUGAGUGGCCUGCCCUUGGCUUUGGGAUAACGUCAGGGAACUGGGGCUAAUACCGGAUAGGAGCUCCUGCGGCAUGGUGGGGGUGGAAAAGUUUCGGCGGUUGGGGAUGGACUCGCGGCUUAUCAGCUUGUUGGUGGGGUAGUGGCUUACCAAGGCGUUGACGGGUAGCCGGCCUGAGAGGGUUACCGGCCACAUUGGGACUGAGAUACGGCCCAGACUCCUACGGGAGGCAGCAGUGGGGAAUAUUGCACAAUGGGUGGAAGCCUGAUGCAGCAACGCCGUGUGCGGGAUGACGGCCUUCGGGUUGUAAACCGCUUUCGCUCAUGACGAAGCUUUGUGUGACGGUAGUGGGUAAAGAAGCACCGGCUAACUACGU